Molecule: ribosomal RNA, 487 nt
Filed under: uncultured bacterium
Lineage: Bacteria
Description: partial 16S ribosomal RNA
Rfam family: Bacterial small subunit ribosomal RNA
Source: RNAcentral
GACGAACGCUGGCGGCGUGCUUAACACAUGCAAGUCGUACUAUGACCCGGCUCUUCGGAUCUGGUGAUUAGUGGCGAACUUUUGAGUAACACGUGGGUGACCUGCCCUGCACUCUGGGAUAAUCCCGGUAAACUUGUUCUAAUACUGGAUACGACCAGUGUCCGCAUGUUCUGCUGGUGGAAAGCCCUUCGGGGUGGUGUGGGAUGGGCCCGCGGCCUAUCAGCUUGUUGGUGGGGUGAUGGCCUACCAAGGGGACGACGCGUAGCCGGCCUGAGAGGGUGUCUGGCAACACUGGGAAUGAGACACGGCGCAGACUCCGACGGGAGGAAGCAGUGGGGAAUCUUGCACAAGGAGAGAAAGCCUGAUGCAGCGACGCCGCGUGAGGGAUGACGGCAUUCGGGUUGAAAACCUCUUUCGGCAGGGAACAAGCCUGGGGGUUUUCUUCUGGGUGAGGGUACAUGCGGAAGAAGCACCGGCUAACUACGUG